This is a long non-coding RNA of Phyllostomus discolor (pale spear-nosed bat), 109 nucleotides long. RefSeq lists it as uncharacterized. Lineage: Eukaryota; Metazoa; Chordata; Mammalia; Chiroptera; Phyllostomidae. The transcript is spliced from 3 exons. The record is from RefSeq and is a predicted model, not a curated record.
AAACAUCAAUAUAUGGUUGCUUCUCAUGUGUUCCCCACUGGGAGCCUAGCCGACAAUCCACACAUGUGCCCUGACUAAGAAUCAAAUUGGUGACCCUUUGGUUUGCAGG